AUCUAGCUGAAGAGUACGAAAUAAGACGAAACUCGCGUCAAACUGGAU
Molecule: non-coding RNA, 48 nt
Organism: Schistosoma rodhaini
Lineage: Eukaryota; Metazoa; Platyhelminthes; Trematoda; Strigeidida; Schistosomatidae
Source: Rfam